Molecule: long non-coding RNA, 605 nt
Organism: Cydia splendana
Lineage: Eukaryota; Metazoa; Arthropoda; Insecta; Lepidoptera; Tortricidae
Exons: 2
Source: RefSeq, a predicted model, not a curated record
UAACUAGCCGCCUUAUACUAAAAUAACUUCUGUUUAUAGGUGAAUAAUAUUAAUUUUUAGUUUAGGGUGGCCAGUUACUGGCGAAACAUCCUAUAUGUAAUAAAUGGGCAUUUGAACUGUUUUUAAAUGGUCAGAAAUAAAAAAAUGUGAAACCGUUUCUGAUAUUCUGGCAAAUGGGCAAAGACACAACUAAUAAUCUUAAUACUACAUAAUUCUCUUGGCAACUUUGCCCAAUAGCGUUUAUAUCCGUUUCAACUUUGCCAACACCGAUUAUGCCAAUAAUACUCUAUAGUACUGGCAUAUACGGUUAUACGGCCCAAUUCGAACAACUUAUAAGAUGUCACAGCGAUACGAUACGGAUCUGACAGUGUCAAGUGACAUUUCUUCAACCACAAACGUCACUUUUGACACUGACAGAUCAGUAUCACAUCGGAAACAGAUCCAAUAACUAAAACUCGAAUGGCCUAUUAUGCGUUGGCUUGAAGAUAUGAAAGGGUAUUUUAUUAUAGUAGAGUAGCUAUAAGAAAAGACCACAUGUGUAUAAAGUAGAGUUACUUGUACAUACUAUAUUAUUGUGAUAAAUAUAUAACAUAUUAUAUACAGUU